RNAcentral lists this ribosomal RNA (354 nucleotides) under bacterium LimB-10-J-95. RNAcentral's name for it is "bacterial SSU rRNA". It matches the Rfam family "Bacterial small subunit ribosomal RNA", at positions 289 to 635 of the family's 1533-position model. The record is from RNAcentral.
GGUCUGAGAGGAUGAUCAGUCACACUGGAACUGAGACACGGUCCAGACUCCUACGGGAGGCAGCAGUGGGGAAUAUUGGACAAUGGGCGCAAGCCUGAUCCAGCCAUGCCGCGUGUGUGAAGAAGGUCUUCGGAUUGUAAAGCACUUUAAGUUGGGAGGAAGGGCAGUAAGUUAAUACCUUGCUGUUUGACGUUACCAACAGAAUAAGCACCGGCUAACUUCGUGCCAGCAGCCGCGGUAAUACGAAGGGUGCAAGCGUUAAUCGGAAUUACUGGGCGUAAAGCGCGCGUAAGUGGUUCAGCAAGUUGGAUGUGAAAUCCCGGGGCUCAACCUGGGAACUGCAUCCAAAAGCUA